CCUACGGGAGGCAGCAGUGGGGAAUUUUGGACAAUGGACGCAAGUCUGAUCCAGCCAUGCCGCGUGCGGGAAGAAGGCCUUCGGGUUGUAAACCGCUUUUGUCAGGGAAGAAACGGGUUUCUCUAAUACAGAGACCUAAUGACGGUACCUGAAGAAUAAGCACCGGCUAACUACGUGCCAGCAGCCGCGGUAAUACGUAGGGUGCAAGCGUUAAUCGGAAUUACUGGGCGUAAAGCGUGCGCAGGCGGUUAUGCAAGACAGAGGUGAAAUCCCCGGGCUCAACCUGGGAACUGCCUUUGUGACUGCAUAGCUAGAGUACGGUAGAGGGGGAUGGAAUUCCGCGUGUAGCAGUGAAAUGCGUAGAUAUGCGGAGGAACACCGAUGGCGAAGGCAAUCCCCUGGACCUGUACUGACGCUCAUGCACGAAAGCGUGGGGAGCAAACAGGAUUAGAUACCCUGGUAGUCCACGCCCUAAACGAUGUCAACUGGUUGUUGGGAGGGUUUCUUCUCAGUAACGAAGCUAACGCGUGAAGUUGACCGCCUGGGGAGUACGGCCGCAAGGUUGAAACUUAAGGAAUUGACGGCUGNGAGNGCGAGACGACGACGAGGGAGAGG
This 615-nucleotide ribosomal RNA is filed under the name uncultured bacterium. Its description in RNAcentral is "bacterial SSU rRNA". It matches the Rfam family "Bacterial small subunit ribosomal RNA", at positions 338 to 947 of the family's 1533-position model. The record is from RNAcentral.